This 825-nucleotide ribosomal RNA is filed under the name uncultured Verrucomicrobiota bacterium. Its description in RNAcentral is "bacterial SSU rRNA". It matches the Rfam family "Bacterial small subunit ribosomal RNA", at positions 63 to 859 of the family's 1533-position model. Lineage: Bacteria; Pseudomonadati; Verrucomicrobiota. The record is from RNAcentral.
CGAACGGGAUUCUUUUUGUAGCAAUACAGGGAGGGUUCAGUGGCGUAAGGGUGCGUAACACGUGGGCAAUCUGCCGGGAAGUGGGGGAUAGCUCGCCGAAAGGCGAAUUAAUACCGCAUGUGACCAGGAGGGGAAUCCCUCCGACGUCAAAGUCGGUCGCAGCAAUGCGGCUGACGCUUCCUGAUGAGCCCGCGGCCUAUCAGCUUGUUGGCGGGGUAACGGCCCACCAAGGCUAUGACGGGUAGCUGGUCUGAGAGGACGACCAGCCACACUGGAACUGAGACACGGUCCAGACACCUACGGGUGGCAGCAGUCGAGAAUUUUUCUCAAUGGGGGAAACCCUGAAGGAGCGACGCCGCGUGAAGGAUGAAGGUCUUCGGAUUGUAAACUUCUGUCAUUUGAGAACAAUGUGCACGGGUUAACUGCCUGUGCAUUGAUAGUAUCAGAAGAGGAAGAGACGGCUAACUCUGUGCCAGCAGCCGCGGUAAUACAGAGGUCUCAAGCGUUGUUCGGAUUCAUUGGGCGUAAAGGGUGCGUAGGUGGCAGGGUAAGUCGGAUGUGAAAUCCCGGGGCUCAACCUCGGAACUGCAUUCGAUACUGCUUUGCUUGAGUACUGGAGAGGAGAUUGGAAUUUACGGUGUAGCAGUGAAAUGCGUAGAUAUCGUAAGGAAGAUCAGUGGCGAAGGCGGAUCUCUGGACAGUUACUGACACUGAGGCACGAAGGCCAGGGGAGCAAACGGGAUUAGAUACCCCGGUAGUCCUGGCAGUAAACGGUGCGCGUUUGGUGUGGGAGGAUUCGACCCCUUCCGUGCCGGAGCUAACGCG